CCUACGGGUGGCAGCAGUGGGGAAUAUUGCACAAUGGGGGAAACCCUGAUGCAGCGACGCCGCGUGAGUGAAGAAGUAUUUCGGUAUGUAAAGCUCUAUCAGCAGGGAAGAAAAUGACGGUACCUGAUUAUGAAGCCCCGGCUAACUACGUGCCAGCAGCCGCGGUAAUACGUAGGGGGCAAGCGUUAUCCGGAUUUACUGGGUGCAAAGGGAGCGUAGACGGCAGCACAAGUCUGGAGUGAAAGGCCGGGGCUUAACCCCGGAACUGCUUUAGAAACUGUGCAGCUAGAGUUCAGGAGAGGUAAGUGGAAUUCCUAGUGUAGCGGUGAGAUGCGUAGAUAUUAGGAGGAACACCAGUGACGGAGGCGGCUUACUGGACUGUAACUGGCGUUGAGGCUCGAAAGCGUGGGGAGCAAACGGGAUUAGAUACCCCGGUAGUA
RNAcentral lists this ribosomal RNA (440 nucleotides) under uncultured bacterium. RNAcentral describes it as "partial 16S ribosomal RNA". It matches the Rfam family "Bacterial small subunit ribosomal RNA", at positions 338 to 795 of the family's 1533-position model. The record is from RNAcentral.